AUGGGUUUUGCUACUUUCUUUGAUGUUGAUACCGUGGCCCUCUUGUGGAGCAAGACUCUUAAAGUAGCCUUUGUUGGGCAUGUCGAGAAUGGUCUUUAUGUGAUUAACUUUUCGGAGCGACCCACUAAGAUCGCGACAUGCCUAAUGGCUAAAGUUGAUGUGGGAUGGCUUUGGCAUCAACGUUUAGCCCACGUCAAUAUGAGAUCUUUGCAAAGCCUUCUCAAGGGGGACCAUGUCCGUGGACUAACAAAUGUUAUUUUUGCCAAAGAUCGUGCUUGCAGUGCUUGUAUCGAGGGAAAGCUUCCUGAGACGGCUCACCCUCCCACGACUAUCAUCUACUCGAAGAGACCCUUGGAGCUCCUUCACAUAGAUCUCUUUGGGCCUCCAUCAUUUGAUAGUCUUGGGGGUAGGAAGUAUUGCUUGGUGAUCGUGGAUGACUAUUCAAGAUAUACUUGGGUAUAUUUCUUCAAGAGGAAGAGCGAGACUCAACAAACCGUCAUCGACUUUGCAAAUGAAGCUCAACGGCAACAUGAUGCAAAGAUCUUGAUCAUAAGGAGUGACAACGGCACCGAGUUCAAGAACUACACCUUGGAUGAGUUUCUCAGUGAUGAGGGGAUCAAGCAUCAGUAUGCCGCACCUUACACCCCUCAACAAAAUGGUGUAGCGGAAAGGAGGAACAGGACGUUGAUGGAUGCAGCAAGGACCAUGAUGGAGGAGUUCAAGUUUCCUUAUAACUUUUGGGACGAAGCCAUCAACACAACAUGUCAUGCGUCAAAUUGUCUCUACCUCCGCAAAGGCUUGAACAAGACUCCCUAUGAAAUACUUACCGGUAACAAGCCCAACCUCAAGUACUUCCGGGUGUUCGGGUGUAAGUGUUUCAUUCUCAAGAAAGGUGUUCGUUUGUCUAAAUUUGAGGCUAGAGCUUAUGAGGGCAUAUUUGUUGGUUAUGCUACAAACUCUCAUGCUUACCGUGAACUCAACAAGUCCACCGGACUCAUUGAGGAGACGUGUAACGUGGAGUUUGACGAGAAUAAUGGCUCCCAAGUGGAGCAAAGUGGUACUUGUGAUGUAGGUGAUGAAAUUCCUCCCCAAGCCAUAAGAAGAAUGGUUGUUGGUCAUAUCCUACCCAUUGAGGAACCCCUUGUGGCCUAA
This 1152-nucleotide ribosomal RNA is filed under the name Triticum aestivum (bread wheat). RNAcentral's name for it is "partial small subunit ribosomal RNA". Lineage: Eukaryota; Viridiplantae; Streptophyta; Magnoliopsida; Poales; Poaceae. The record is from RNAcentral.